Molecule: long non-coding RNA, 620 nt
Filed under: Sorghum bicolor (sorghum)
Lineage: Eukaryota; Viridiplantae; Streptophyta; Magnoliopsida; Poales; Poaceae
Description: long non-coding RNA (SBIC_LNC002556)
Source: RNAcentral
CAUACCCUUCACCUACGUCUAGUUAAAAGGGAAUACCAAGCCUCUAGGGAGACUAUAGGGAAAAGAGCAUGAAAGGGCUACCUGACUCGACAAAAGUCUGAAUCAAGUGUGAAGCCACAUGCCACCCUAAGAGGUGAUAACAAGGGCCAAAAAAAUAAGCCUGCGAGGAUUAUUAGUUACACAAAGUUGAAGAGCUACCCUCCGAAUUCAUUGAAGACAAAAUCCAAGAAACAAAAUAAAAAGAGAGAAAGAAAAAGGAGACAUAGUCAAGUGUCUCGAAGCUCUCAAUAAUCAAAUAAAAUCAAGGUGUCAAGUGAACGAAGGAGGAGGGUAGCUAUUCAUCGUCCUCGGCAAAAGUAAAGGCAAAAAAAAAAUACCACAACUUGUCCCCCCAAACCAAUUCCAAAAAUAUAGCCGUAUCCUAUAUUUCCUACUGGACAAAGGUAGAAGGUGUGAGGCACAUGACCGAAGGGAGGCUCGGAGAUAAUUUUUCUGACCUAAAGAGGUCCUAAUGAAGUGCUAAUCUCUCAACACGUAUAUCACGAGGAAACUAAACCUCAAGUGAAAGUUGUGUCGUUGACCUUUUAUGUCAAAAUACACCCUUGGAUGAUGUCGCCGGA